This 161-nucleotide non-coding RNA is filed under the name Nipponia nippon (crested ibis). Its description in RNAcentral is "Eukaryotic small subunit ribosomal RNA". It matches the Rfam family "Eukaryotic small subunit ribosomal RNA", at positions 1165 to 1655 of the family's 1831-position model. Lineage: Eukaryota; Metazoa; Chordata; Aves; Pelecaniformes; Threskiornithidae. The record is from Rfam by way of RNAcentral.
UACUGCAAGGAGUCUAAUUUGUCGGGCAUUUGGAUAAAAUGAAACGUAAUGCAUUGUGCAUUACACAUCACAUGCUUUUGUGGUGGGGAUUGCAAUUAUUCCCCAUGAAUGAGGAAUUCCCAGUAAGUGUGGGGCAUAAACUCACUUUGAUUAAGUCCCUG